AUCGCUUCUCAGCCUUUUGGCUAAGAUCAAGUGUAGAUGUUUCUGAUAUGUUUAGCAGUAUUUGCUAUUUAAGUAUAUUAAUUUCAUUUGCUCUUAGAAAAACUGUU
This is a small nuclear RNA of 107 nucleotides. Its record names the gene U2. It matches the Rfam family "U2 spliceosomal RNA". From Rfam's summary of the family: U2 is a small nuclear RNA (snRNA) component of the spliceosome (involved in pre-mRNA splicing). Complementary binding between U2 snRNA (in an area lying towards the 5' end but 3' to hairpin I) and the branchpoint sequence (BPS) of the intron results the bulging out of an unpaired adenosine, on the BPS, which initiates a nucleophilic attack at the intronic 5' splice site, thus starting the first of two transesterification reactions that mediate splicing. The record is from Ensembl.